AUUUCCCUGGGGUGUGCGUGAUUUAUGCCUCGGUGCUAACCUGACAAGCAUAAAAAUGGGUGCCGUCUCUGCUUUUUGUGUGCAUGCCCGCGUUACGCGGGAAGCCUGAGAAAAGCAUACGGGUGCCCGACCUGGGAAACCAGGUUCUGCACCGCAGACAUGACACGGCGCUCUGGGGAUUAC
Molecule: non-coding RNA, 183 nt
Organism: Desulfovibrio sp. 6_1_46AFAA
Lineage: Bacteria; Pseudomonadati; Thermodesulfobacteriota; Desulfovibrionia; Desulfovibrionales; Desulfovibrionaceae
Rfam family: 6S / SsrS RNA
About the family: E. coli 6S RNA was the first non coding RNA to be sequenced, but its function was unknown until recently. It consists of 184 nucleotides that fold into an extended hairpin structure with a large single-stranded internal bulge.
Source: Rfam